Molecule: long non-coding RNA, 587 nt
Organism: Ochotona curzoniae (black-lipped pika)
Lineage: Eukaryota; Metazoa; Chordata; Mammalia; Lagomorpha; Ochotonidae
Exons: 2
Source: RefSeq, a predicted model, not a curated record
GGGGGACAGGUGGUCUGCACCAACCCUGCACACAGUGAAGUUCAAGAAUGUAUGGCAGAGCUGAAGAGCCGAAACAACAACGUGUCCUAUCUGGAUAAACUGCCAUCUUCAGGGCUGGCACUCAGAGGGGAAAUGCUUCCAGAUCCACCUGACAAAGUGCCUGGAAAAGCAGCAGAUGAUAUCCCAAGUCCUUGGGCCUCUAAAUCUCAGAGGCAGAUUCAGAAGAAUCCUCUGGUGUCUGGCUUCAGACUGGCCCAGCCCUGACAGUUGCAGCCACUUGGGGAGUGAACAAAGCCUUGGAAGGCAGCCAUGGAAGGCCCAAGUCCUAGGGCCUCUGCACCCACAUGGGAGACCUUGAAGAUACGCCUGGCUUUGGAUCACUUCAGCUCUGGUAUUGCAGUCCUUUGUGGAGUUACUGGUGGAUGAAGAUCUUCCUCUUUAUAUCUCUACAAAUCUCUCUCUUCCUCUCCUCUUCUCUCUAAAUCUGCUUCUCAGAUAAAAGUAAAUACAUUUGUUUAAAAUAAUGAAUUGCUCUGUUUUGGGUAUAACAUUAAUGCAUCUAAUAAAGAAUAUCCAGCCUCAUUUUA